AAGUCGUAACAAGGUCUCCGUAGGUGAACCUGCGGAGGGAUCAUUACUGAGUGAGGGCUCACGCCCGACCUCCAACCCUUUGUGAACCAAACUUGUUGCUUCGGGGGCGACCCUGCCGGCGAACUCGUCGCCGGGCGCCCCCGGAGGUCUUCUGAACACUGCAUCUUUGCGUCGGAGUUUAAAACAAAUUAAACAAAACUUUCAACAACGGAUCUCUUGGUUCUG
This 225-nucleotide unclassified non-coding RNA is filed under the name air metagenome. RNAcentral describes it as "partial contains small subunit ribosomal RNA, internal transcribed spacer 1, and 5.8S ribosomal RNA". The stretch from base 1 to 46 matches the Rfam family "Eukaryotic small subunit ribosomal RNA", at positions 1786 to 1831 of the family's 1831-position model. The record is from RNAcentral.